Molecule: transfer RNA, 71 nt
Rfam family: tRNA
About the family: Transfer RNA (tRNA) molecules are approximately 80 nucleotides in length. Their secondary structure includes four short double-helical elements and three loops (D, anti-codon, and T loops). Further hydrogen bonds mediate the characteristic L-shaped molecular structure. tRNAs have two regions of fundamental functional importance: the anti-codon, which is responsible for specific mRNA codon recognition, and the 3' end, to which the tRNAs corresponding amino acid is attached (by aminoacyl-tRNA synthetases). tRNAs cope with the degeneracy of the genetic code in two manners: having more than one tRNA (with a specific anti-codon) for a particular amino acid; and 'wobble' base-pairing, i.e. permitting non-standard base-pairing at the 3rd anti-codon position.
Source: Rfam
GCGCUCGUGGUGUAAUGGUAACAUAGUCGAUUUCCAUUCGACUGCCUCGGGUUCGAUUCCCGACGGGCGCA